This is a long non-coding RNA of Oncorhynchus tshawytscha (Chinook salmon), 1178 nucleotides long. The record is from Ensembl. Lineage: Eukaryota; Metazoa; Chordata; Actinopteri; Salmoniformes; Salmonidae.
CUGGAGCUAGGAGGCCGUGAGGCUGGCCAUGGACGAAAUAGCAUUUUCUAUUUGGAAGACAAUGCCAGGCGACAACGCGCCAUGCUUCGCAGAAAUCACUACGCUGAAACGGAUGCGCGCUUUUGGGAAUACAAUUGGAUACAUACGGGGCAUUUAAGCCUAGUCAAAAGCUAACGGCAAUUUAACUUGACGGCAAUUUAACUUGAUUUUUGCCGUUCCUUCUAUCUGUCUUCAAAGAAUUGUCCCUCCCUCGGCCAGGUACCAUUCAUGACAUUUGGGGCCCCUCUCUCUCUCUCUCUCUCUCUCUGUCUCUCUCUCUGUGAGUAGCAUCCAGGUGGUGGAGCGGAAAUGGCGGGAGCUUGUAGCGAAAUAGGGACGUUGAGUAGGGUGUGGAGGGGAGGGUUAUGCACUCGGCUGAGGGAGUUUGAAGUGUGUGGGUGUGAUUGACAAGUGGAUGUACAUGCAUGCAUUAUGUGUCAACGCACUGGUGGCCAUAACUGAGAUUCGAUUUGAUAAAUCGGAAUUCUCAUGACGCCCUGAAACGGAGUUAACAGAGUUUCGUUUGAGUAAACGUUCUAACACGUGGACUAUACAUCAGAGUGGACAGACACUCCAACAGCAUUAAAUACAGUUGUGAAAUACACGGGUUUAAACAUCCCAAGUGUGCCUGAGAACCGUUGUUUAAUCAAAGGUAGGAGCUUGAUGAUGGUAGCGAGAGAGCUGUCUUUACAGGAGAGGCCUAGUCAGUUUGUAUAUUCUUUCAAUGCUUUCCCAGAAAACAUUUGAAAGAGAACUCAACUUAACAGUACAGCAACAUUUUCAUGAUGUUUCUUAUAGGCCCACAUAAAGAUAACUGCUAUUGUAACGUCUCAAAUUACUCGAAACACUGGACUCACCGUUCCCCAGUAUACCUAAAACAAAUCCCUGCUCUGUGAAGGAUAUUGCUGCAUUUGUUUGCGAGUUUUAAAGAUCUGAGAUGUAAACACGUCAGCUUGUGUGUGUUGAUGGUGUGUGUGUCAGACUGGAGUGAAAACACAGUUUUGGUUCUCAAAAUGUCCACUUUGGUAUUUUGGGACUAGCAAGGGAUUCAAACUCAAAGGCCCGUUGGACGUUGGAAAUAACAACACCUCCACCGGUCCCGCCCCUCCGGAACCCGAACGAGAGGAUUUCAAAUUGCC